This 468-nucleotide ribosomal RNA is filed under the name uncultured bacterium. Its description in RNAcentral is "partial 16S ribosomal RNA". It matches the Rfam family "Bacterial small subunit ribosomal RNA", at positions 28 to 507 of the family's 1533-position model. The record is from RNAcentral.
GACGAACGCUGGCGGCGUGCUUAACACAUGCAAGUCGAACGGAAAUGCCCUGCUUUUGUGGGGUGCUCGAGUGGCGAACGGGUGAGUAACACGUGAGUAACCUGCCCAUGACUUUGGGAUAACUUCAGGAAACUGGGGCUAAUACCGGAUAGGAGCUCCUGCUGCAUGGUGGGGGUUGGAAAGUUUCGGCGGUUGGGGCUGGAUUCGCGGCUUAUCAGCUUGUUGGUGGGGUAGUGGCUUACCAAGGCUUUGACGGGUAGCCGGACUGAGAGGGUGAGCGGCGACCUUGGGACUGAGAGAAGGCACAGACUCCUAAGGGAGGAAGCAGUGGGGAAUACUGCAGAAGGGGCGGAAGCCUGAUGAAGCAACGCCGCGUGCGGGAUAGCGGCCUUCUGGGUGUAGACCGCGUUCGCGGGAACCGAAGCGUGAGUGACGGUAAUGGGUAAAGAAGCACCGGCUAACUACGUG